RNAcentral lists this ribosomal RNA (503 nucleotides) under Blastobacter sp. CL1.27. Its description in RNAcentral is "bacterial SSU rRNA". It matches the Rfam family "Bacterial small subunit ribosomal RNA", at positions 17 to 495 of the family's 1533-position model. The record is from RNAcentral. Lineage: Bacteria; Pseudomonadati; Pseudomonadota; Alphaproteobacteria; Hyphomicrobiales; Nitrobacteraceae.
CCCUGGCUCAGAACGAACGCUGGCGGCAGGCUUAACACAUGCAAGUCGAGCGCCCCUCCUUCAAGCAAGCUUGAAGGAUUUUUAUCCUUGAAAAGGAAGAUCAAGACAGCUUUCAAGAAGCUUUCUUGAUGGAGGGGAGCGGCAGACGGGUGAGUAACGCGUGGGAAUCUACCCAUCUCUACGGAAUAACUCAGGGAAACUUGUGCUAAUACCGUAUACGCCCUUUUGGGGAAAGAUUUAUCGGAGAUGGAUGAGCCCGCGUUGGAUUAGCUAGUUGGUGGGGUAAAGGCCUACCAAGGCGACGAUCCAUAGCUGGUCUGAGAGGAUGAUCAGCCACAUUGGGACUGAGACACGGCCCAAACUCCUACGGGAGGCAGCAGUGGGGAAUAUUGGACAAUGGGCGCAAGCCUGAUCCAGCCAUGCCGCGUGAGUGAUGAAGGCCUUAGGGUUGUAAAGCUCUUUCACCGGAGAAGAUAAUGACGGUAUCCGGAGAAGAAGCCCCG